GGGUUGUGAGGUUAAGCGACUAAGCGUACACGGUGGAUGCCCUGGCAGUCAGAGGCGAUGAAGGACGUGCUAAUCUGCGAUAAGCGUCGGUAAGGUGAUAUGAACCGUUAUAACCGGCGAUUUCCGAAUGGGGAAACCCAGUGUGAUUCGUCACACUAUCAUUAACUGAAUCCAUAGGUUAAUGAGGCGAACCGGGGGAACUGAAACAUCUAAGUACCCCGAGGAAAAGAAAUCAACCGAGAUUCCCCCAGUAGCGGCGAGCGAACGGGGAGGAGCCCAGAGCCUGAAUCAGUGUGUGUGUUAGUGGAAGCGUCUGGAAAGGCGCGCGAUACAGGGUGACAGCCCCGUACACAAAAAUGCACAUGCUGUGAGCUCGAUGAGUAGGGCGGGACACGUGGUAUCCUGUCUGAAUAUGGGGGGACCAUCCUCCAAGGCUAAAUACUCCUGACUGACCGAUAGUGAACCAGUACCGUGAGGGAAAGGCGAAAAGAACCCCGGCGAGGGGAGUGAAAAAGAACCUGAAACCGUGUACGUACAAGCAGUGGGAGCA
This 550-nucleotide ribosomal RNA is filed under the name Escherichia coli. RNAcentral's name for it is "partial 23S ribosomal RNA". It matches the Rfam family "Bacterial large subunit ribosomal RNA", at positions 1 to 581 of the family's 2925-position model. The record is from RNAcentral. Lineage: Bacteria; Pseudomonadati; Pseudomonadota; Gammaproteobacteria; Enterobacterales; Enterobacteriaceae.